RNAcentral lists this ribosomal RNA (207 nucleotides) under uncultured bacterium. RNAcentral's name for it is "partial 16S ribosomal RNA". It matches the Rfam family "Bacterial small subunit ribosomal RNA", at positions 568 to 774 of the family's 1533-position model. The record is from RNAcentral.
UACGUAGGCGGCCCAUUAAGUCAGAUGUGAAAGCCCGGAGCUCAACUCCGGGAUUGCAUUUGAAACUGGUGGGCUAGAGUACAGGAGAGGAAAGUGGAAUUCCUAGUGUAGCGGUGAAAUGCGUAGAUAUUAGGAAGAACACCAGUGGCGAAGGCGGCUUUCUGGACUGUAACUGACGCUGGGGUACGAAAGCGUGGGGAGCGAACA